RNAcentral lists this unclassified non-coding RNA (1823 nucleotides) under Acyrthosiphon pisum (pea aphid). Its description in RNAcentral is "ankyrin repeat domain-containing protein SOWAHC, transcript variant X1". The record is from RNAcentral. Lineage: Eukaryota; Metazoa; Arthropoda; Insecta; Hemiptera; Aphididae.
UUCUAUCACAACAUUUUUUUUUUAUGAUUAUUAGUCAUUACUAUACUGUUGUUAUUAUAUUUUUUUCUAAACUUUUAAUCCGUACUCACAUUUUAUAAUAAUAACGAUACUAACGAGAUAUGGCCUCCGGGGGGAAAAUAUGAAAGAAAAACUGCCACUUACCGUGCGGUUUCGAGUGCAAUGCGAAAAUCUAAUGAUCCGCGGCAACAAGUUGCCCGGCGGCUUCGACGCUGUUGCCGCGUGUCCGCACGCCGCUCGAAGACGUUGGCUUUUAAUAUUUUUCUCCCCUAAAUACACGUGCAUCGUACACGUGUCCAUUAGUUUUUGCAACCCACUUCAGCCAUUCGAUGACUAUAAGAAAUUUGUCAUGGGUCAUGAUGACGAAAUUUUUAACGUCACCGAUUAUAAUUUGUUCACACUAUAUGUUUGUAUGUUAGUAUCUAUAUAUAUGCGCAUUCUACUCGAGUAUUAUUAUGUUGUUUUUUUAUUCUUUAUUUAGAAUCAAUUGUAGGUACCUAUAUAUACACAUCCAUCGUAUAGGUACACGUUUAUUAUUUAUGUUAAUUUCGGAUGAUGUAACACAAAAUUUACCAGAGUACUCAUUUUAGAUAAUUGAGCCAGUUUAUAAAUAUAAUAUAAAAAUGUGUCUGUUGCGCUCUACGUAUUUAUACGAAAACCGACUUUUUCUCGUGUAUAAAAUAUAGAGAAUAAACCAUAAAUCUCCUGGUCGUCGCGCCCUCCGAAGAUUAAUAGAGUGACAACAUAAAGAGGUCUUGAAAUUCUCUCCCUACUGGCUAUUAGAGUAAUUAAUAACUGGCAGCCAGAAAAAGAGGGUUUAAAAUAUAUACAGGGGGCAUGGGGCAAAUAGCCAAAUAUAUACAAUGUGUACUUAUAUAUGUCUAUGUGUCGAAAAUUGUAUCGAGGUCAUAAAUACGCAAUAGGCUUACGAAAACUCGCAAGUUAAUUUAAUUGCUGACCAAUGUUUGUGGGUUCACAAACCACAGUUCGACUGUUUCAAUAUUAUAUUGGUCUAUGUCAUUACUCAUUAAACAUAAUUGUUUGCUUUUUUUACAGAACGAUAAAGACGAAGAAGACACUAUUUCUAUGACAUCGUUAGAUCCUAAGACUAAAGAAUGGGUCGUCAAAUCAGCAAAAUGUGACUAUCAAGCUUUGGCAAAACUGGCAUCUGAAAAUCCUCGAAUUGCAAAGUUCAAGGACCCUAUCACAAGCUAUACGGCGUUACACUGGGCGGCGAAACACGGCAACAUGGACCUGGUGAAAAUGUUGGCCGGCACGUACACUGCCAACGUCAACGCUAAAACGAAUGGAGGUUACACGCCGUGUCACUUAGCUCUGCAGUUCGGACAUGAAGAGAUCUACAAGAUACUGGUCGAGUCGUACGGAGCCGACCCGAACGUCCGGGACUACAGCGGACGGAAGCCAAGACAGUACCAGACGAACCAGGAUACGAGCCUGUCGGCGGACACUUAUCGCAGGCUGUUGGACGCGGAAAGAACUAAACGCCCGAAAGCACAAACACAUCGAAAAGGACCUAAGAUUUCUGAGGAUUGGGUCCCUGAACGUGCGCGUUAAACGGACCACGGAGGCGUUCAGCAACUUCCUGGGCGUCGGACACAACGCUGAAAAGAUCCACAAGACUUGGGGCUCUGCCGACAACAUACAACAGAACGACGCCAAGAGAAUGCCCCCUCCGAAAAGCGUUGCGAUUAAGAAGAGGAAGUCCAAGCGGCCACAGGACUUUCUGAGAAGGGCCUCGGCCCCGGCCGACCGGUCGCCAGACAAGAGAAAAUCUGCGGAAAUCG